Long non-coding RNA from Oncorhynchus nerka (sockeye salmon), 841 nucleotides. RefSeq lists it as uncharacterized. Lineage: Eukaryota; Metazoa; Chordata; Actinopteri; Salmoniformes; Salmonidae. The transcript has 2 exons. The record is from RefSeq and is a predicted model, not a curated record.
UGAGAGGAAGGCAGAAUACAGACCUGCGAGCUGCUUUCCUCUUCAAGAUGGCGCUCUGUGAGGAAGGCAGAUGCUGAGAUGAAACCACCAAGUGGAGGACUACCUCCAGGAGAGGCCAUAUAGUCAAGCCAACACAUCCAGACCAACCUAAACCCACAGCUAACAUCCUAGCCUUCGGGGAUUUGACAGAAAUCAUAAUAAUAAUUGUUCUAUUGUUUUAUGUGUUGAAAUUGUCACAAAAAAAGUAUAAUAAUUUAAAAAUAAAACUAGCUUACCGGCCCAGAACACAGAACACACAGAGUUGUCUGUGUGUCAUACACUGGCCGACAUUUGGGCUUUUAUCUAAGUCAGUUCUGGAAGAGCAAAGCAAAUGUUUAGUAGCAAACAGUAUAGGAGUGUUUUCCAUUAAAUUAAAAAAUACUGAAGCACACAGUUGGGAAUCAGUGAAACUACACUCAUCGUCAAGCUUUAAUUACUUGAAUCAGCUGUGUAGUUCUAGGAACAAAAAACCCCCAAAUGGUUUGGUAAACCCUGCCCUAGGCCACAACACAUCACUAGUUCUCAACACCAAAUCAUUGUUCGCAAUUUGUAUAAAAUCCUUUUUUAUAGUAUUCACAAUGUAUCUUUUAGAUAAUAAAAAAAAAAUGUAUGAUUUGUAUUUGUACGAUGUAUGUCAAGGUUUUCAUGAAAUAUGCCAGUUACAAAUAGCCUAAGAGUUUGAUUUUUUUUUUUAACUAUAAUAUAUGAAUAGAAAGUCUACUGUAUUUCAAAAAAAAAGUAUUUAUAUACUUAUUUUCCACCAUAAUUUGCAAAUAAAUUCAUUAAAAAUCCUACAAUGUGA